This 468-nucleotide ribosomal RNA is filed under the name uncultured bacterium. Its description in RNAcentral is "partial 16S ribosomal RNA". It matches the Rfam family "Bacterial small subunit ribosomal RNA", at positions 28 to 507 of the family's 1533-position model. The record is from RNAcentral.
GACGAACGCUGGCGGCGUGCUUAACACAUGCAAGUCGAACGGAAACGCCCUGCUUUUUUGGGGUGCUCGAGUGGCGAACGGGUGCGUAACACGUGAGUAACCUGCCCUUGACUUUGGGAUAACUUCAGGAAACUGGGGCUACUACCGUAUAGGAUCUCCUGCUCGGUGGUGGGGGUGGGAAAGUUUCGGCGGUUGGGGAUGGACGCGCGGCUGAUCAGCUUGUUGGUGGGGUAGUGGCUUACCAAGGCUUUGACGGGUAGCCGGCCUGAGAGGGUGACCGGCCACAUUGGGACUGAGAUACGGCCCAGACUCCUACGGGAGGCAGCAGUGGGGAAUAUUGCACAAUGGGCGGAAGCCUGAUGCAGCAACGCCGCGUGCGGGAUGACGGCCUUCGGGUUGUAAACCGCUUUCGCCUGUGACGAAGCGUGAGUGACGGUAAUGGGUAAAGAAGCACCGGCUAACUACGUG